CUGAAAGCAUCUAAGCGGGAAGCCGGCCCAAAGAUGAGUCAUCCCUGAACUUUAAGUUCUGGAAGGGUUGUUAUAGACGAUGACGUUGAUAGGCAGGGUGUGGAAGCGUUGUAAGGCGUUAAGCUAACCUGUACUAAUUGCCCGAGAGGCUUAACC
This 156-nucleotide ribosomal RNA is filed under the name Dolichomastix tenuilepis. Its description in RNAcentral is "partial Bacterial large subunit ribosomal RNA". It matches the Rfam family "Bacterial large subunit ribosomal RNA", at positions 2771 to 2925 of the family's 2925-position model. Lineage: Eukaryota; Viridiplantae; Chlorophyta; Mamiellophyceae; Dolichomastigales; Dolichomastigaceae. The record is from RNAcentral.